RNAcentral lists this ribosomal RNA (443 nucleotides) under uncultured bacterium. Its description in RNAcentral is "partial 16S ribosomal RNA". It matches the Rfam family "Bacterial small subunit ribosomal RNA", at positions 28 to 507 of the family's 1533-position model. The record is from RNAcentral.
GAUGAACGCUGGCGGCAUGCCUAACACAUGCAAGUCGAUCGGUAAGGCUCUUCGGAGUACACGAGAGGCGGACGGCUGAGUAACGCGUAGGAAAACACCCUGCAGUGAGGGAUAAGACACCGAAAGGUGUUCUAAUACCGCAUACGGUCUUCGGAUUAAAGCAUUUAUGCGCUGAAGGAGUGGCCUGCGUCAUAUUAGAUAGUUGGUGAGGUAAUGGCUCACCAAGUCGAUGAUGUGUAGCUGGUCUGAGAGGAUGAUCAGCCAGACUGGAACUGAGACACGGUCCAGACUCCUACGGGAGGCAGCAGUGAGGAAUAUUUCACAAUGAGCGAAAGCUUGAUGGAGCAAUGCCGCGUGCAGGAUGAAGGCCCUCGGGUUGUAAACUGCUUUUAUAAGAGAAGAUUAUGACGGUAACUUAUGAAUAAGAGACGGCUAACUACGUG